RNAcentral lists this unclassified non-coding RNA (194 nucleotides) under Glomeromycotina sp. Its description in RNAcentral is "partial contains small subunit ribosomal RNA, internal transcribed spacer 1, and 5.8S ribosomal RNA". The stretch from base 1 to 47 matches the Rfam family "Eukaryotic small subunit ribosomal RNA", at positions 1785 to 1831 of the family's 1831-position model. Lineage: Eukaryota; Fungi; Glomeromycota. The record is from RNAcentral.
AAAGUCGUAACAAGGUUUCCGUAGGUGAACCUGCGGAAGGAUCAUUAAUAAACGUGAUUCGGCGAAACCGUUAAGGUUUUGCGAAAAACUUUUUUGUAUUUAAAACCUUCACACUUUGUAAACGAAAUAAUUUUUUUAUUAUAAAAAAUAAAAUAAAAAAAAGAUCACUUUCAACAACGGAUCUCUUGGCUCUC